CAGGCAACAAGCAUUUACUAAGAACCUACUAUGUGCCAGGCACUCUGCUAGAUAAUGGAGGGCACAGAGGGAGAUUUUAAUGUUUCAAAUCCCCUAAAUUGAAAGAUUAGACUGGAUAAAGGGGGUGGGGGUGGAGGGGAAGAAGGUUUAAGACUUAGGGACAUUAAGACAUUAGGAAAUGGUCCUACUAUGUUCUGGAAUACCCAGUUCAGGUCUGGAUGCCACAUUGGAGAGAGGAAGCCCAUUGGUAAUCAAAUCAACACUAUCAUUCUGGAAAAGGACCAGUCAAUUACACUAUGACUCAAUCACCAUCCCUGCUGUUCCCUGGACAACAAACACCUCUUUCGGGUCUACUACUCUAUCCACUGUGCCACCCAGCUGCCUCUACUACAAACAGAAACUAUAGUGUAGGACCAAGGAUCAUCCUUGGGAAACCUAGAAAUUCCCCAGAAACAAAGAAAGCAAGGACGCACCAACCCAUGUCUCAAAUGUCUAAACCAAAAUGCACAAGAGAUCAGUACAAGUGAGGCCACUGGAGCUCUGAGAGCAAGGAGGCCAAUUCGAGCUGAUGGGUAUCGCUGAGACGGUGGGAAGGGACCAUGGCUAGAAGAUGGAACUCAAAAGGAAGAGGCUAGAUUUUGGGAGACCAGGUUUCAAAGGGCUUAGAGAAAGGCUACGUAGGAUUCCAUGGACUAAAAUCCUGUCGGGUAAUUCAGUCCAGAAGUAUAGGAGGCUCUCCAGAAUGAAAUUCUGAAUGCACCAAGAGAAGGAAUUCAGAAGUAAGUGGAGUGUAUAAAGACACUGAUGAGGACAUAUCGGGAACUCUUCAGCUGACUUUAAGUUUGUGUAAGAGGAGUGCCUAGGAUGGAAGUCAAGGCAAAUAACAGAGGGAGAAUUCAAAAGUGUGUCAUGGCUUUGUAAGAAGACGUUCAAAUGUGCUAAGGCUCAGACUGAGCAAAAGCUAUUGAGAAAAAUGAAGUACAACAAGAACAGCUUUAAAAGAAAGUUAUAUUGGUGAGAAGAAGCAAAUGUUGCUUGGGUUGGAUGCUAACCGAUGAGGGAUAGAGCAAGUCAAAACUUAUUUUAAUUGUGCCUCUAUCAAGCAGAAGGCCUUUUGGACUGAUAAGGAGAGAAUACAAAUGAUUAAUAAAGGGCUAAUCUCUAAAAAAAAAUAAACA
RNAcentral lists this long non-coding RNA (1178 nucleotides) under Monodelphis domestica (gray short-tailed opossum). RNAcentral describes it as "lncRNA (ENSMODG00000040688.1)". The record is from RNAcentral. Lineage: Eukaryota; Metazoa; Chordata; Mammalia; Didelphimorphia; Didelphidae.